Oryzias latipes (Japanese medaka) is the source of this 1367-nucleotide non-coding RNA. NCBI's taxonomy places the organism in Eukaryota, Metazoa, Chordata, Actinopteri, Beloniformes, Adrianichthyidae. The record is from RefSeq and is a predicted model, not a curated record.
AUAAUUGGAGGAUUUGAGAUAUUUCAUUUCUUUUCUGCAUAACACUUGAACUCAACUCUCCUUGGAUCUUACUGCACAAAGCAUCUGGUGUCUGAUGUUUUGUUGUCAGCAUUCCUGAAUAUUUGAGGUGACAUGAAUCUUUGCAGCAUCCCUGCAGCAACCCACAUUCUUGCACAACCCUUUCUCGAAUAUGAACAUAAAGAUAUUGCUUGCAUAUUUGAGCACAUGGUUUUGCUACCAUGCCUCAUGAAACCCAGAUUUCAGUAUGCUUAGAACAAAGAUACUGUAUUCUUGGCUGUUUUCACUGCAGACCAGAGGUGAAGGCUCCACUGAAGCUCACAGGGGCAAAGUUGCACCAUCUGCAAUGGAAAACAAAGAAGUAAGAUGCAAAUGAAGUUAAGUUAGGCUGCAAAGAGCAAUGGAAAAAAUGAUUAGAGCAUUAAGAUGGGAAAAUUGUAUUUAACACCUAACCAGACAAUUAUAGCUUUGUUUACUCUGACUGGCGGCUUCUUUAAAGAUGCAAAAAAAGGGGGGAAUUUGGUAUUUUGCGGUUUCUGUGUUUUUACUUGUUCAAACAUCUGACAGAAAAUCAUUAACAUGUUCCUUUGUGAUAAAUCUUUGGUUUGAUUUUCUGUUUUUUCAAGCUCAGGAAUGUCUGUCUUGCUAAUGCACGUCAAAAAAGAAGGGAGAGGUGGGGACUAGACAGUACACGAGAAGCAGACAGGCGUAGACACAACUUGUCGUGGGAGUGACUGUUUUUCCACAUGAGUGCUGCAGACAUUCAGGGCACCCUGAGCCCUGCCCAGAAGGAAAUGAAUGGCACUGAAUAUUUCUCCUUCCAAAUUUGGUUUUUUACCUGGUUUCCUGCGUCAUGUCUGUUCAGCGCUGUUCUGCAGAUAAUGAUCAAUAAUUAGGCCUCAACAGUUCUUCACGUGUGUUUGCUUUGUGACUAAUAAAGACAAUUGUUCUCCACUUAGAGUUCACUUCUCUUUACAAAGGGAAAUGUUUCACUUUUAUGUUUUGUUUUGUUUGUCAGAAUAAUGAGGUUGAAAUAACCUUUUGUUUCCACUUCUUUAUUUUUUUGCUGAAAGACAUGACUUUGUUUUUCUUGACAGGAACAGAUAUGCAGUAAUUACUCUGAGCCAUUGUGCACCAUAGGGGCUUAAAAUACCAAAGUUCGGGGAAAGAGUCCAUUUAAGACACGUUUAAAAGGAAAGUGCCUUAAAGAGAACCUAUCCCCAAGGUGUCUUAUGCCCAAAGCUUUUUUUUUUUUCUUUAAUGCUGGAUUGGAAAAGAAAAAAAAACAUAUUCAACAUUACUUUGAAAAAAAUAAUCCAUUAUUGCUUCUGAGAAAUCCUAAGUGUACC